RNAcentral lists this long non-coding RNA (570 nucleotides) under Bos taurus (domestic cattle). RNAcentral's name for it is "long non-coding RNA NONBTAT001741". Lineage: Eukaryota; Metazoa; Chordata; Mammalia; Artiodactyla; Bovidae. The record is from RNAcentral.
GCCCGGAUGCCUUGAGGUAGAUUCUGACUUAAUGCUUUGCACUGUGAUCAAGCAACAGUAUUGUUCCAUGGACUGAUAUGUUUCAGCUCUCUUAUCUCUGUAGAAAAUAAACCUGGAGUUAAUGGUCGUUGGUGUUAAUUAUCUCUGAUCACUUAUACAUAACUACCUACAGAGCUCAAAGAAUGAGGAUUUUCAUCAGUACUUUGUAGAAGAACAUCCAGUGACACAUGCACUAAUUUGGCCUCAAAAUUGCUUAAAAGGGGGUUUUCCAGGAUUGUUUAAUGUUUUCACAGUGCCUUUUAGCUCUAAGCUCUAAAGACUAAGUUUUAAAGGUUAUUUAACAUGUCUGGAAGUUGACAGGUUGCAAGUCACUGAAGACUCACUGUAUGUCUAAGAUUAUUAAAAACAUGCUUUUAGCCAAAUUGUGGCUCCAGUUAGAUAAGGAUAGGGAUUCACAGACAUUCAAAAUAAGCAUACUUUCAAUGAAAAAGUUUCAGGAGAGUUAGUGGAAACUUCUUCCUGAUACACACUGUCCGUUCUAGGUUUUUGCCUCCAGGCUUCUAGAAGUGG